Molecule: small nuclear RNA, 104 nt
Organism: Hyaena hyaena (striped hyena)
Lineage: Eukaryota; Metazoa; Chordata; Mammalia; Carnivora; Hyaenidae
Source: RefSeq, a predicted model, not a curated record
GUGCUCGCUUCGGCAGCACACAUACUGAAGUGGAAACAACACAGAGAUGAGCACGGCCCCUGCACAGGGAUGACAUGCUGAUUCAGGAAGCAGCACUAACUACA